This 624-nucleotide long non-coding RNA is filed under the name Mytilus galloprovincialis (Mediterranean mussel). Lineage: Eukaryota; Metazoa; Mollusca; Bivalvia; Mytilida; Mytilidae. The record is from RNAcentral.
UAUUAAUAACAUGAUUUAACUGAUACAAUUUGAUCAUAAAUUUUUAGUUACAGUAAUAAAUUACUGAACUGAAAAUGACAAAAACAAAAAGGACUGCAAUUUGCCUUUAAGAUUUGUAUGCGUUGAUACAUUUUGAAUAUUUUGAUAUAAAUAUUUUGUUCUCUAGUGAGCAUGAUUAUGGUAAUAUUCCAAAAACAUUAGUCUUUGCACUGACAUUGGUGUCAAAACUUCCAAAAUGCCAGAAAUUUUUUAAUUUUUAGAAGAAAUGAAAUGGUCAGUGUGGUUAAAGAACAUUAUAGACUUUAAUCAUCCUGCAUAUUAAAAUAAUGCUUUUGGGUAAGGUGGAGCCAUAGUUGAAGCUGUUAGACUAUCUCUGCCCUGUAUAAAAAAAAAAUCACAUUUUGUACAAAUAUGUAAGCUGAAUCGCUGUAAAGCCUGUAAAUUGACUAAAAGUUAUAUUCAAGCAUUAUUUAAAGAGGAAAUAAUACUACCGGUAAUAUGACUUUUAAAUUCAUGUACACCAUGCUUCAAUGAAAAUUAAAACAAAUGAAAUCACAAAGCUAAUUUGAUUGCAGAAGAGCAGUACUAUUACAUUGUAUGCUUAAAACAUGGAACAAAUGCAAC